UGGGGAAUUUUGGACAAUGGGCGCAAGCCUGAUCCAGCCAUGCCGCGUGCGGGAAGAAGGCCUUCGGGUUGUAAACCGCUUUUGUCAGGGAAGAAAUCUUCUGAGUUAAUACCUCGGGAGGGUGACGGUACCUGAAGAAUAAGCACCGGCUAACUACGUGCCAGCAGCCGCGGUAAUACGUAGGGUGCAAGCGUUAAUCGGAAUUACUGGGCGUAAAGCGUGCGCAGGCGGUUUUGUAAGACAGAGGUGAAAUCCCCGGGCUCAACCUGGGAACUGCCUUUGUGACUGCAAGGCUUGAGUGCGGCAGAGGGGGGAUGGAAUUCCGCGUGUAGCAGUGAAAUGCGUAGAUAUGCGGAGGAACACCGAUGGCGAAGGCAAUCCCCUGGGCCUGCACUGACGCUCAUGCACGAAAGCGUGGGGAGCAAACAGGAUUAGAUACCCUGGUAGUCCACGCCCUAAACGAUGUCAACUGGUUGUUGGGAAGGUUCCUUCUCAGUAACGUAGCUAACGCGUGAAGUUGACCGCCUGGGGAGUACGGCCGCAAGGUU
This 548-nucleotide ribosomal RNA is filed under the name uncultured bacterium. RNAcentral's name for it is "partial 16S ribosomal RNA". It matches the Rfam family "Bacterial small subunit ribosomal RNA", at positions 355 to 895 of the family's 1533-position model. The record is from RNAcentral.